This 649-nucleotide unclassified non-coding RNA is filed under the name Hevea brasiliensis (rubber tree). The record is from RNAcentral. Lineage: Eukaryota; Viridiplantae; Streptophyta; Magnoliopsida; Malpighiales; Euphorbiaceae.
GUUUACAGUAUGAACCUCGAGAGAGGCCAAAUGCAAAGACUCUUGUCGCUGCUCUCACUCCUCUUCAGAAAGAAACUGAGGUUCCAUCUUAUGUUUUGAUGGGUAUUCCACAUGGAGCUUCAUCCCCAAAGGAAACAAUUUCAUUGACACCUCUAGGUGAAGCUUGCUCAAGAAUGGAUCUGACUGCAAUACAUCAGAUACUGGAGAAGGUGGGGUAUAAAGAUGAUGAGGGGAUUGCAAAUGAGCUGUCCUUCCAAAUGUGGACGGAUCAAAUACAGGAAACACUCAAUUGUAAGAAGCGUGGAGAUGCUGCUUUUCGAACCAAGGAUUUUGCUACUGCCAUUUAUUGUUACACACAAUUUAUUGAUGGUGGGACAAUGGUAUCACCAACAGUAUUUGCCAGACGCUGCUUGUGCUACUUGAUAAGUGAAAUGCCACAACAAGCACUUGGAGAUGCAAUGCAAGCUCAAGCAGUAUCUCCUGAGUGGGCUACUGCCUUCUAUCUCCAAGCUGCUGCUCUCUUCAGCCUUGGGAUGGACAGUGACGCACAGGAAACUCUAAAAGAUGGCACAUCCUUGGAAGCCCAAAAACAUAGAAUCUGAAAGUGUAUAGUUCUUUGAAAAAAAAGGGGAUUCUUUAUCCAUUUAAA